UACGUAGGGACCAAGCGUUGUUCGGAUUUACUGGGCGUAAAGCGUGCGCAGGCGGUUCGUUAAGUUCGAUGUGAAAGCCCCGGGCUCAACCUGGGAACUGCAUUGGAAACUGGCGAGCUUGAAUGCGGCAGAGGGGGGUGGAAUUCCGCGUGUAGCAGUGAAAUGCGUAGAGAUGCGGAGGAACACCGAUGGCGAAGGCAGCCCCCUGGGCCGACAUUGACGCUCAGGCACGAAAGCGUGGGGAGCAAACAGG
RNAcentral lists this ribosomal RNA (253 nucleotides) under uncultured bacterium. RNAcentral describes it as "partial 16S ribosomal RNA". It matches the Rfam family "Bacterial small subunit ribosomal RNA", at positions 524 to 776 of the family's 1533-position model. The record is from RNAcentral.